This 397-nucleotide ribosomal RNA is filed under the name uncultured bacterium. RNAcentral's name for it is "partial 16S ribosomal RNA". It matches the Rfam family "Bacterial small subunit ribosomal RNA", at positions 523 to 918 of the family's 1533-position model. The record is from RNAcentral.
AUACGUAGGGGGCGAGCGUUGUCCGGAAUGAUUGGGCGUAAAGGGCGCGUAGGCGGCGCGGUAAGUCUGGAGUGAAAGUCCUGCUUUCAAGGUGGGAAUUGCUUUGGAUACUGCCGCGCUUGAGUGCAGGAGAGGUUAUCGGAAUUCCCGGUGUAGCGGUGAAAUGCGUAGAGAUCGGGAGGAACACCAGUGGCGAAGGCGGGUAACUGGACUGCAACUGACGCUGAGGCGCGAAAGUGUGGGGAGCAAACAGGAUUAGAUACCCUGGUAGUCCACACUGUAAACGAUGAAUGCUAGGUGUAAGAGGUAUCGACCCCUUUUGUGCCGGAGUCAACACAAUAAGCAUUCCGCCUGGGGAGUACGGCCGCAAGGUUGAAACUCAAAGGAAUUGGCGGGG